This is a long non-coding RNA of Arachis duranensis, 1060 nucleotides long. RefSeq lists it as uncharacterized. NCBI's taxonomy places the organism in Eukaryota, Viridiplantae, Streptophyta, Magnoliopsida, Fabales, Fabaceae. The record is from RefSeq and is a predicted model, not a curated record. The transcript is spliced from 2 exons.
UAAUUUUCCAAAUUGAAAACCCUAAGUUCCUAAUCAGAAACCCUAACCCUCCCCCCCACUCUCCUCAGCAACAGCCGUCAUCCACACUUCCCUUCCUUUCCCUAACGGUCAUACAACACACACCUAGCUGAGAAAGAAAGGCAGAAAUGGAAAGGGAGAAGAGAGAGAGCUCGGAAUUGGAGGAGAAGAGGGAGCCGUCGCCACGCAGCCGCCGUCCUGUCGCAAUCGCCGUCGUGGGGGAAGACCAGAGCCGAGGCAGGGAGCAGCACCGAGAGGGAGAGAGGCCGCCAUCACGUCCUGUUCACCGUCGUCGUCGAUCUGCCCUGGAGCCACUAUGUCACGUGUCGCCGACGAAGAAUAGAGAGGGAGACGCACGAAGAAGAGAAGCCCGUGACCAUCCUUGUCGCCGUCAGCGCCGCGGGUUGCCGUCACCAUAUUCGUGAGCUGCCACCGCGUCACCGUUAUUGAGCUGCAGCGCCGCCGUUGUCGCACUCUGCUACUGUCGCGUCUCACCAAGCCACCGCUGGAAGAGGAGGGCUCGCCAGUUCUGCCUUUGCUUCUAGUUUCGCCACCGCCACUGCUGGAACUGUUGGUUUUUUGCUUUGGCCUUGCUUUAGAUCCACUCUGAAGCGUUACCAUCGCCGUUUGGCUAACACUGAGGCUUUCCACUGCCACCGAAACUGCCCAUGACCACCACUGUGGCUGCCAUGGGAACAGAACGGUUGCCAAAAUUUGACAGAAUGCCGCUGUUAUCGAUUAGAGAUGCCAAAAACUAUUGCUGCUGCUGUGGAGUUGGAAUACUGGGUGUGUCGCGUUUAAAUUCUGCAAAUUUCGACACUCUCAGUGACACAGGUUUGAAGACUCAGUUUGAAGCUGCGGGUGAUUGUUAGACCUUAUCUAUAUGAGUUUUGUUUAUGAGUUAAGUUUCUUUCAUAGAGUUCCCUCGCCUUUGUAGCUUUAGUUUUUAUUUUAUGCAGAGGGAUAGGAGUUGUAUCUGAAUUUUAUUUAAAAUUCUCUUGUAUAAUGUUUAUUAUUAUUAAUAAGUUUAUGAUUAUUAUCA